Salvelinus sp. IW2-2015 is the source of this 1468-nucleotide non-coding RNA. Lineage: Eukaryota; Metazoa; Chordata; Actinopteri; Salmoniformes; Salmonidae. The record is from RefSeq and is a predicted model, not a curated record.
AAGUAAGGAUUGUGCCUUUGAAUCAGAUGUGUAGUGCUAGGGCAAAAAACAAAACGUGCACCCCUUGGGGUCCCCAGGACCGAGUUCGGGAAACACUGGAUUAGGAGUCUCACUCAAUUUCGGCUGAUGCCAACUUCUGGAGGUCGCAGUGGGGCAACGAUAUUUGGCUUUCCCAUGGAUCUGAACGCUCCGCUGGUGUCACUACAAUGAAAAAUACCUUUGGUGGUUGGUGGAGGAGUUCAUGUUGCUUGGCAACGUGCUGUUCUACAGACACUUCACCUCGCUGCAACGCUGAUGUCAUCAUCCACAGGCUGGCAGACUCUCUGGGCUGUGGUCCUCUUCUGUAGCGGAGGUGCAGAAGCAGGCGUCCCGCUGUAACGAUGACGUGACUGCCUCCGAGAGAGUCCAGGAGCUCAGCUCUCAGCUGUUCUUCAUCAUGGAGAUCUCCAUCUUUAGUCUGGACAGCUGAGGGCAGACGGAGCUCCUAUGAAAUACAGUGCUGUAAUCAARAGGCCCAAUGAGACAUCGUCGUGGAUACUACGAUAAAGCACACACAUCGAUAAGACAGACCGAGCUCUGCUGAAUAAGCUUACUUGGACAGUAUUGUGCGCUUGACAACACACACAUGAUAACACACAUGUCAUUGCACAUGUUCUUUUGUAUGUAUUAGAAAAGCCAUUUUUUAUUUUACUUCAUGGUUCAACUACCAUCGAGGAGCCAAGGCUCUGAAGUAGCACAGUGUUAUUUAAAUACGGCCUGGACCGCUUUGAAAUGAACUGUAAAAGUGCCAAUACUGCAAUGAAUAACGUUUUAUAUUUAGCAGUUUUGACCCUAUGUAAUUUUUUGCAAAAGUAUAUACACAGUCGAUGUGUGAAGAUAAUAUAAACUAAACAUGGUUUAAACUAAGCUGUUCUAUUAAUGUCGAGAUUUACAGUAACUCGCCAUUUCAGUCRCAAUGCAAUUCGUUGAUUAGUGGUAGCAGUCACCUUGCAAGAACUUGUUUUUCCCCAUCAAUUCAUAGUAUGACACUCUGUCCCACUUUAAAUAAAUUACUUUAAAGGUUUAAUAAACCCUUUUUAUAAUGACUAUUUUAAAGCAAAUUCAUACAACAUAUAACAGGAUAACAUGACGCUCAGCCAAGUGCUUUGCCAUGUGUAUUGGGACCACAAAUGUUCCGCAAAUGUUUAAGUUGCCAGUAGGAAGGAAUUCUUGAUACCAUAUUCAAACUCACAAAUCGAAUACGUUGAUAUAGCAAUUUUACUCUCUAGUGUAACUCCCAGUCCUCAACUCCUGUUUAGUCUCUGUGCCCAGAUUAGGAAUUACAUCUGGAUUUACCUUCAACCAGUGGUGUAAAGUACUUAGGUAAAAAUAGUUUGGGGUAUGUGUACUUUACUAUUAUAUUUUUGAGUUUUUACUUCGCUACAUUCCUAAAGAAAAUAUAAUUUUUACGCUGUAGAUUUUUACUGAC